AGCAGUCGCCGCGGGAAUACGUAGGGUGCAAGCGUUAAUCGGAAUUACUGGGCGUAAAGCGUGCGCAGGCGGUUUGUUAAGACAGAUGUGAAAUCCCCGGGCUCAACCUGGGAACUGCAUUUGUGACUGGCAAGCUAGAGUCUGGCAGAGGGGGGUGGAAUUCCGCGUGUAGCAGUGAAAUGCGUAGAUAUCGGAAGGAACACCUGUGGCGAAAGCGGCUCACUGGACCAUAACUGACGCUGAUGCACGAAAGCUAGGGGAGCAAACAGGAUUAGAUACCCCUGUAGUCCCUGUCUCUUAUAC
RNAcentral lists this ribosomal RNA (303 nucleotides) under uncultured bacterium. Its description in RNAcentral is "partial 16S ribosomal RNA". It matches the Rfam family "Bacterial small subunit ribosomal RNA", at positions 507 to 807 of the family's 1533-position model. The record is from RNAcentral.